UUCCCAUUCAUUUUUUCUCCAUAAGGUUUUUGAUUAUCAGUCAUAAUGUCUAAACCAUCCGAGGUAGACUGACCACGAGCUCCGAGGUAGAAGACAUUAUGAAAUCAAACUUGUUUUAAGAAACAAGACUUGACUUGGACUCUUGGUCAGAGACUUGAAACUAGACUUGGACUCUAGCUCAGCGACUUGAGGCUUGACCUGGACUCUAGCUCAGAGACUUGACUUGGACUCUUGCUCAGGGACUUGAGACUUGGACUCUAGCUAAGAGACUUGAGACUUGACCUUGACUCUAGCUCAGAGACUUGACCUGGACUCUAGCUCAGAGACUUGACCUGGACUCUAGCACAUAGACUUGAGACCUUACUUGGACUCUAGAUCAGACACUUGAGACU
Etheostoma cragini (Arkansas darter) is the source of this 392-nucleotide long non-coding RNA. RefSeq lists it as uncharacterized. The transcript has 3 exons. The record is from RefSeq and is a predicted model, not a curated record. NCBI's taxonomy places the organism in Eukaryota, Metazoa, Chordata, Actinopteri, Perciformes, Percidae.